AAUACUUUUAAUCCUGUUGGCUAAGAUCAAAUGUAAAAGUAUUUGUUCUUUUCAGUGACAACUGAAAGGAGUUUUUUUAAUGCUUCUUGGUUGUCUUACUUAUUAUUAAGAUCAGUUGAAGCAUCCUUUAGUAUGCAAAAAAUGCUUCAACCAGCAUUUUACCACCACUGAUGUUCCUAGUUCCC
RNAcentral lists this small nuclear RNA (185 nucleotides) under Piromyces finnis. RNAcentral describes it as "U2 spliceosomal RNA". It matches the Rfam family "U2 spliceosomal RNA". From Rfam's summary of the family: U2 is a small nuclear RNA (snRNA) component of the spliceosome (involved in pre-mRNA splicing). Lineage: Eukaryota; Fungi; Neocallimastigomycota; Neocallimastigomycetes; Neocallimastigales; Neocallimastigaceae. The record is from Rfam by way of RNAcentral.